UCCGAUAUGGUCUAGUGGCUAGGAUUUCUCGCUCUCAAACUGUUCUUAAUGAACGAUUAGGUCCGAGGAGGCCGGGGUUCAAUUCCCCGUGUCGGAA
Molecule: transfer RNA, 97 nt
Organism: Aureobasidium namibiae CBS 147.97
Lineage: Eukaryota; Fungi; Ascomycota; Dothideomycetes; Dothideales; Saccotheciaceae
Rfam family: tRNA
About the family: Transfer RNA (tRNA) molecules are approximately 80 nucleotides in length. Their secondary structure includes four short double-helical elements and three loops (D, anti-codon, and T loops).
Source: Rfam